GACGAACGCUGGCGGCGUGCUUAACACAUGCAAGACGAACGGUAAGGCCCUUCGGGGUACACGAGUGGCGAACGGGUGAGUAACACGUGGGUGAUCUGCCCUGCACUUCGGGAUAACUCCGGGAAACCGGGGCUAAUACCGGAUAUGACCUCCUUGGGCAUCCUUGGAGGUGGAAAGUUUUUCGGUGAGGGAUGGGCCCGCGGCCUAUCAGCUUGUUGGUGAGGGAGUGGCUCACCAAGGCGACGACGGGUAGCCGGCCUGAGAGGGCGACCGGCCACACUGGGACUGAGACACGGCCCAGACUGCUACGGGAGGCAGCAGUGGGGAAUAUUGCGAAAUGGGCGAAAGCCUGACGCAGCAACGCCGCGUGCGGGAUGACGGCCUUCGGGUUGUAAACCUCUUUCAAUAGGGACGAAGCGCAAGUGACGGUACCUAUAGAAGAAGGACCGGCCAACUACGUGCCAGCCGCCGCGGUAA
RNAcentral lists this ribosomal RNA (477 nucleotides) under uncultured bacterium. RNAcentral's name for it is "partial 16S ribosomal RNA". It matches the Rfam family "Bacterial small subunit ribosomal RNA", at positions 28 to 523 of the family's 1533-position model. The record is from RNAcentral.